This 301-nucleotide ribosomal RNA is filed under the name uncultured bacterium. RNAcentral describes it as "partial 16S ribosomal RNA". It matches the Rfam family "Bacterial small subunit ribosomal RNA", at positions 509 to 807 of the family's 1533-position model. The record is from RNAcentral.
CAGCAGCCGCGGGAAUACGAAGGGGGCUAGCGUUGCUCGGAAUGACUGGGCGUAAAGGGCGCGUAGGCGGUUUUGACAGUCAGAUGUGAAAUUCCUGGGCUUAACCUGGGGGCUGCAUUUGAGACGUCAAGACUAGAGUGUGAGAGAGGGUUGUGGAAUUCCCAGUGUAGAGGUGAAAUUCGUAGAUAUUCGGAAGAACACCAGUGGCGAAGGCGGCCCGCUGGACAUGUAUUGACGCUGAGGUGCGAAAGCGUGGGGAGCAAACAGGAUUAGAUACCCCCGUAGUCCCUGUCUCUUAUAC